CAGCAGCCGCGGGAAAACGAGGGGAGCUAGCGUUAUUCGGAAUUACUGGGCGUAAAGCGCACGUAGGCGGCUUUGUAAGUUAGAGGUGAAAGCCCAGAGCUCAACUCUGGAAUUGCCUUUAAGACUGCAUCGCUUGAAUCCAGGAGAGGUGAGUGGAAUUCCGAGUGUAGAGGUGAAAUUCGUAGAUAUUAGCUAGAACACCAGUGGCGAAGGCGGCCAACUGGUCCGAUACUGACGCUGAGGUGCGAAAGCGUGGGGAGCAAACAGGAUUAGAUACCCGCGUAGUCCCUGUCUCUUAUAC
Molecule: ribosomal RNA, 301 nt
Filed under: uncultured bacterium
Lineage: Bacteria
Description: partial 16S ribosomal RNA
Rfam family: Bacterial small subunit ribosomal RNA
Source: RNAcentral